Molecule: ribosomal RNA, 485 nt
Filed under: uncultured bacterium
Lineage: Bacteria
Description: partial 16S ribosomal RNA
Rfam family: Bacterial small subunit ribosomal RNA
Source: RNAcentral
AGUGAACGCUGGCGGCGUGCUUAACACAUGCAAGUCGAACGAGAACGGAUUAUAGCUUGCUAUAAUUGUCAGCUAAGUGGCGCACGGGUGAGUAAUGUAUAGAUAACCUGCCCUCUAGAAAGGAAUAACAGUUGGUAACGACUGCUAAUGCCCUAUAUGCCUUUAAUACAUAAGUAUGCAAGGGAAACGCUUUAGUGCUAGAGGAUGGGUCUGUAUGGUAUCAGCUUGUUGGUGAGGUAAUGGCUCACCAAGGCUAUGACGCCGAACUGGUUUGAGAGGAUGAUCGAUCAGAAUGGAAAUGCGACACGGUCCAGACUCCUACGGGAGGCAGCAGUGGGGAAUAUUGCACAAUGGACGAAAGUCUGAUGCAGCAACGCCGCGUGGAGGAUGACACAUUUCGGUGCGUAAACUCCUUUUAUAUAGGAAGAUAAUGACGGUACUAUAUGAAUAAGCACCGGCUAACUCCGUGCCAGCCGCCGCGGUAA